AAACUCAAAGGAAUUGACGGGACCCGCACAAGCGGUGGAUGAUGUGGUUUAAUUCGAUGCAACGCGAAAACCUUACCCACCUUUGACAUGUACGGAACCCUUUAGAGAUAGAGGGGUGCUCGAAAGAGAGCCGCAACACAGGUGCUGCAUGGCUGUCGUCAGCUCGUGUCGUGAGAUGUUGGGUUAAGUCCCGCAACGAGCGCAACCCUUGUCAUUAGUUGCUACAUUCAGUUGGGCACUCUAAUGAGACUGCCGGUGACAAGCCGGAGGAAGGUGGGGAUGACGUCAAGUCCUCAUGGCCCUUAUAGGUGGGGCUACACACGUCAUACAAUGGCUGGUACAAAGGGUUGCCAACCCGCGAGGGGGAGCCAAUCCCAUAAAGCCAGUCGUAGUCCGGAUCGUAGUCUGCAACUCGACUACGUGAAGUCGGAAUCGCUAGUAAUCGUGGAUCAGCCAAGCCGCGGUGAAUACGUUCCCGGGCCUU
RNAcentral lists this ribosomal RNA (484 nucleotides) under uncultured Rhodoferax sp. RNAcentral describes it as "bacterial SSU rRNA". It matches the Rfam family "Bacterial small subunit ribosomal RNA", at positions 897 to 1382 of the family's 1533-position model. Lineage: Bacteria; Pseudomonadati; Pseudomonadota; Betaproteobacteria; Burkholderiales; Comamonadaceae. The record is from RNAcentral.